CUCUACAGCCAUACCACCCUGAACCCACCUGAUCUCGUGAAGCUAAGCAGGGUUGGGCCUGGUUAGUACUUGGAUGGGAGAAAUUCUCUUAGGUUUAACCAUAGAGUUUUGGGGU
RNAcentral lists this ribosomal RNA (115 nucleotides) under Prolemur simus (greater bamboo lemur). Lineage: Eukaryota; Metazoa; Chordata; Mammalia; Primates; Lemuridae. The record is from RNAcentral.